RNAcentral lists this ribosomal RNA (494 nucleotides) under uncultured bacterium. Its description in RNAcentral is "partial 16S ribosomal RNA". It matches the Rfam family "Bacterial small subunit ribosomal RNA", at positions 28 to 507 of the family's 1533-position model. The record is from RNAcentral.
GACGAACGCUGGCGGCGUGCUUAACACAUGCAAGUCGAACGGUGAAGCGCCUUCCUUUUUGGUGGGUGUGGAGGAGUGGCGAACGGGUGAGUAACACGUGAGUAACCUGCCCCCUUCUUCUGGAUAACCGCAUGAAAGUGUGGCUAAUACGGGAUAUUCUGGGUCUGUCGCAUGAUGGGUCUGGGAAAGAUAUUGUUUCGGUGGGGGAUGGGCUCGCGGCCUAUCAGCUUGUUGGUGGGGUGAUGGCCUACCAAGGCGGUGACGGGUAGCCGGCCUGAGAGGGUGGACGGUCACACUGGGACUGAGACACGGACCAGACUCCUACGGGAGGCAGCAGUGGGGAAUAUUGCACAAUGGGCGCAAGCCUGAUGCAGCGACGCCGCGUGAGGGAUGGAGGCCUUCGGGUUGUGAACCUCUUUCGCCAGUGAAGCAGGCCUGCCUCGUUUGUGGGUGGGUUGACGGUAGCUGGAUAAGAAGCGCCGGCUAACUACGUG